ACUCCUACGGGAGGCAGCAGUGGGAAUAUUGCACAAUGGGCGCAAGCCUGAUGCAGCCAUGCCGCGUGUGUGAAGAAGGCCUUCGGGUUGUGAAAUGUCAAGCUUUACAGUUGUGAGGAAAGGUGGUGUCGUUAAUAGCGGCAUCAUUUGACGUUAGCAACAGAAGAAGCACCGGCUAACUCCGUGCCAGCAGCCGCGGUAAUACGGAGGGUGCGAGCGUUAAUCGGAAUUACUGGGCGUAAAGCGCAUGCAGGUGGUUUGUUAAGUCAGAUGUGAAAG
Molecule: ribosomal RNA, 279 nt
Filed under: uncultured bacterium
Lineage: Bacteria
Description: partial 16S ribosomal RNA
Rfam family: Bacterial small subunit ribosomal RNA
Source: RNAcentral